UCCUAGCAAGGGGAAAAAAAAUAGAAGAAGAAGUAGAAGAAGAAGAUGAGACGUAGUUGGUUUCUGUUCUUUUGAUAAAGUGGUGCUCAUUGUUAUCAAAGGCGUGCCUCAGGCAAAGGGUGCACUAGGCACAGGUGGCAUCACCUGACAGAAGGAGAGGGACGGCGUCUCAUUGAGGCGCACCAAGGCGUGAGGUGCAGAAAGGCUCGGCCCAUGGAGUAAGGAGUAGGAGGUUAAAAAUUAAAUAUAAAUUA
This 254-nucleotide unclassified non-coding RNA is filed under the name Hevea brasiliensis (rubber tree). Lineage: Eukaryota; Viridiplantae; Streptophyta; Magnoliopsida; Malpighiales; Euphorbiaceae. The record is from RNAcentral.